GAUGAGUCAGUUGGUUAGAGCAUGGUGCUAAUAACACCAAGUUGCGGGUUCGAAUCCCGUACG
This 63-nucleotide transfer RNA is filed under the name Podarcis lilfordi (Lilford's wall lizard). RNAcentral's name for it is "tRNA.Ile". Lineage: Eukaryota; Metazoa; Chordata; Lepidosauria; Squamata; Lacertidae. The record is from RNAcentral.